AUAUAGCUGAUGCUCUUCUCUAAUUAACGUCUGGAUACAACAAUUCAAAAUUAAAGAUAUAUGACCAGAUGAGGCUUCAUAAAUAUUGGGUAUGUGUUGAUAAAUUCGAACAAUCAAAGAUGAUCAAGCAGAUUGUGUUCUAUGGGGAAAAUAAAUAAAUUCUCUAAAUUUUG
Saccostrea cuccullata (small rock oyster) is the source of this 173-nucleotide long non-coding RNA. RefSeq lists it as uncharacterized. The record is from RefSeq and is a predicted model, not a curated record. The transcript has 2 exons. Lineage: Eukaryota; Metazoa; Mollusca; Bivalvia; Ostreida; Ostreidae.